This 507-nucleotide ribosomal RNA is filed under the name uncultured bacterium. Its description in RNAcentral is "bacterial SSU rRNA". It matches the Rfam family "Bacterial small subunit ribosomal RNA", at positions 1 to 518 of the family's 1533-position model. The record is from RNAcentral.
GAGAGGUUUCGAUUCUGGCUCAGGAUGAACGCUAGCUACAGGCUUAACACAUGCAAGUCGAGGGGCAGCAUGGUCUUAGCUUGCUAAGACCGAUGGCGACCGGCGCACGGGUGAGUAACGCGUGGGCAACCUACCUCACGGAAAGGGAUAGCCUCGGGAAACCGGGAGUAAAACCAUAUAAGACCACAGCGUCGCAUGACGCAGGGGUCAAAACUCCGGUGCCGUGAGAUGGGCCCGCGUCCCAUUAGCUAGUUGGCAGGGUAAAGGCCUACCAAGGCGACGAUGGGUAGCCGGUCUGAGAGGGCGAACGGCCACAUUGGAACUGAGACACGGUCCAAACUCCUACGGGAGGCAGCAGUGGGGAAUAUUGCGCAAUGGGGGAAACCCUGACGCCAGCAAUACCGCGUGAGCGAAGAAGGUUUUCGGAUCGUAAAGCUCUGUUAUCGGGGAAGAAGAAGUGACGGUACCCGAUGAGGAAGUCCCGGCUAACUACGUGCCAGCAGCUGC